GCAACUUUCAGCAGUGGAUGUCUAGGCUCGCACAUCGAUGAAGAACGCUGCGAACUGCGAUACGUAAUGCGAAUUGCAGGAUUCAGUGAGUCAUCGAAAUUUUGAACGCAUAUUGCACUU
Molecule: ribosomal RNA, 120 nt
Filed under: Phytophthora pini
Lineage: Eukaryota; Oomycota; Peronosporomycetes; Peronosporales; Peronosporaceae
Description: 5.8S ribosomal RNA
Rfam family: 5.8S ribosomal RNA
About the family: 5.8S ribosomal RNA (5.8S rRNA) is a component of the large subunit of the eukaryotic ribosome. It is transcribed by RNA polymerase I as part of the 45S precursor that also contains 18S and 28S rRNA. Functionally, it is thought that 5.8S rRNA may be involved in ribosome translocation.
Source: RNAcentral